AUAUCAUAGGUGCUGCUGAUUGUAGGCAACUGUGAAUAAAGCUGCUAUUAAUAGCUGCAUUCAAGGUUUCAUGUAGAAAUGUUUUCAGCUCAUGUGAGUAGGUACAGAAGAGUGUGAUUGCUGGACCACACGGUAAGAGCACGUGUAGUUCUGUAAGAAACUGCCAAACUGUAUUGCGAGGGGGCUGCACCACUUCAGAAUACACCAGCAGCCGAUAAGCGUGAGUUUCCACCAGCAGUGGGUGAGUGUGAAUUUCCACCAGCAGGGGAUGAGCGUGAAUUUCCACCAGCAGUGGAUGAGCGUGAAUUUCCACCAGCAGGGGAUGAGCGUGAAUUUCCACCAGCAGCCAGUGAGCGUGAGUUUCCACCAGCAGGGGAUGAGCGUGAAUUUCCACCAGCAGGGGAUGAGCGUGAAUUUCCACCAGCAGGGGAUGAGCGUGAAUUUCCACCAGCAGCCAGUGAGCGUGAGUUUCCACCAGCAGGGGAUGAGCGUGAAUUUCCACCAGCAGGGGAUGAGCGUGAAUUUCCACCAGCAGUGGGAUGAGCGUGAAUUUCCACCAGCAGGGGAUGAGCGUGAAUUUCCACCAGCAGCCAGUGAGCGUGAAUUUCCACCAGCAGGGGAUGAGCGUGAAUUUCCACCAGCAGGGGAUGAGCGUGAAUUUCCACCAGCAGUGGUCUUCAAAACUCAAUUCCCCGAAGAACUGAGGCUUAGGCAGCAUUUUGAGAAGGGAACGGAGCUGCUUGUUGAAUGAGGGAUGCAAACACCAGGUGUGGCGACGGUGCGGCAUCCAUCCCUGAGGUGUCCUGCGCGUAAUUGCUUCGCCCUUCACACAAACCAGCCCAAGCUCCUCUUUCCGGGUCCCCUGAGCUUCUUCCAGGCGCUCAGCCCAGCGGCUGUCAUGGGACCCUGUGCCCCUGCACUGCUGACUACCGGUUUACGACAGGAAUGACCAGCUGUUUCAAGGAUGGGGCGAUGACAUUCAGGAAAGAAGAGACGCUCACCCGUAGGCCAGUGCUGGAAGGAGGUGCACCCCGCAGCAGGGCAGCUGUGUUAUGGCUUCCCUCCCCAGCGCUCCACUCCAGUGUCCUGGGGAUCACUCACUCCACUAAACUCCACGUUUCUCAUCUCCACAGUGGGAAUCAAACAAUACACUUGUUAAAGUGUUUGGAACAAUUGGAUACACAGCGCCCAAAGGCGUUGCUCAUGAAUGCUGGUCUGUGAGAACUCUUAUCAGCAGUAGCUCUGUUUCUGUGGCUGGGACUCUUCGCCAGAGCUACAAACUGCUGAACUGACAAACCGCGGGGAAGCUGGGAAGUCAGGGAAAUAUGACAACCCCUUUAACCAGAGUGUGAAAUCUCAAGGAACUCAGUGUUUUUUGUUUGUUUGUUUUUGUUUUUUGUUGUUGUUGUUGUUUUUGAGACAGAGUCUUGUUCUGUUGCCCAGGCUAGAGUGCAGUGGCGUGAUCUCAGUUCACUGCAGCCUCCGCCUCCUGGGUUCUAGUGAUUCUCCUACCUCAGCCUCCCCACUAGCUGGGAUUACAGGCACCCACCACCAUGCCCAGCUAAUUUUUUGUAUUUUUAGUAGAGACGGGGUUUGCCAUGUUGACCAGGCUGGUCUUGAACUCCCGACCUCAGGUGAUUCUCCCGCCUUGGCCUCCCAAAGUGCUGGGAUUAUGGACAUGAGCCACCGCGCCUGGCUGAGUGUUUUGUCUUUAAAACUAAAGCAAGACAGUGACUGGAUGUGGCCUUGGUUGAGUCUGUGGGUGCUCCUCAUCCAGGGACACUGUUACUAACUGGUUCUUCCCACUGUGUGGCCUGGAUACAGGGUCGUGGAACCUGAGGGGCCUAGCGGCCUGGAUUCAGGGUCGCGGAACCCGAGGGGCCCAGAAUUCAGUGUUCUGACACAAUUUCAAGUGAAAAAAAAUCAGAUGGUCUGAUAAAACCACAGUCAGGUUAAUCAUCGUGUGAGUUAAUACUCCUUAAUAAACUCCCCUUUAUAUACACAUCUAUCCUGUUAGUAUUGCCCCUCUAGAGAACCCUGGCAAAUACACGUUCUUUUCUGCAUGGAAAGGAGGUGGAGACGUGUGUUUGUGUGUGUAUCAUGCAUAUCUCCAGGCAUCUUGUCAACCUCCAGGCUGGAGAGGUAAAAAGUGAGGCGUUUUCUUUUUUUUCAAGUCCAAGAAGCUGUCAGCCCUUCCCCCGCUCCGGGUGCCAGCACCGCUAACGUCCGCAGUCCAGGACUUGUUUAGGCAGGAGCUGCUUGUUUUCCUGAAACUUGCCAAUUCCCUUCGGGUUAAAAAGCAAUCUUUGUGGAAUGACUGGCCGCAGUGGAUCCCACUCACAGGCCUCGAUUUUCUCUUAUGAAUGAAACCCCCAGAAGGCAAAGUUCAGCCUUCAGAGGGUGGGUGACCCUCAGGCAUGACAGUGGCAAAUGCCUUAGGAAACGCUUGUGUGCCCUGGAUUGUGAGAUUCUGCACCACCAAAUGUGUCAGCUCAGUUUCGCAAAUUAACAAGUAAAUCUCAUUCACGAGCACUCUGAGGCCCGGCCUGCGUGGGUGGCACGUGGGAGAUGGCAUGAAAUGCCAAGUACUUGCCCAAGAUUCAUGCAUUUGCCUAUUUCAGAGAGAAAGCACAGGCCACUUUUAAUCCUAGAUUGCCGAGGUGAGAGUGACUGUCAGUGUUGUGUGCAUUUGCUGUAGGGUCCAGAGAGGUGCAGAGGGAAGAAGGGCUUGCCUCAUGUCACAAGGACAAUUAUUGGCAAAGUGGAAAUAGAGCCCCUUCCAAACCAUGAACCAGGGACUGAUUUCAAGUUGCUUUCUGGGAAUUGUGUUGGCAUCUUAUAGACACUGGCUCCACUUUUCAGAAUAACUGUGUAAAAAAAUGCUUUAUACAAAUAAGAAAAUCAAGCUAAUAAGAAUUGCAAGACCUCCCUAGCUUGUGUACAAUUAUAAAUAGUAGAGACAAGGUACUCUUUCUGCCUGGCAUAUUUCCUUUGUGUUUUGAGAAAUUCAGAACACUGGGGUGCAUUAAAAAGUGACCUAAUUCAAAGAAAUCGUUGCUCACCCCUCUUUCUAUGAGGUGUAAAAGCAGGAGAAAGUGUCAUCAUUGUUUCUUGCAGUUGUUGGAUUGUAUGGAAGAGGACACUAUGGAAAACGGGAUGAGGCUGUUUGUUGACGUAGAAUAUUCAGGGGUGUUCGGGAAGGAAGUUCGGGUCGAGGAUGGACUUCCGGCUUCUUCCUCUGUGAAGGGGAAACCUCACCUCAUGUGUGAAGCCAUAUGUGAAUUCCCAAGAGGAAUGGAUCUCAGCUCCAGCUGCUUCACCACUCUUUAUAUAAGAAUGGAGGUGCUGCUUCUUUAAUGACUUUAUGAAUGUAAAUUUUAAAUACCUUUCUGCAAAUCAUCCACCUGUAAAAAAACUGUUCUUUGGUUACUUAAGUUGAGAAACUGCCACCCGGGGAUAUCGCAGCAUAGGCAGCCGCCGCAGAGAAGCAGCCACGAUCCACACAGAGGACUUGUGAGGAAGAAGGUGCGGGAGGCGGUAUUUCCUUCCUACAGAGAGGCCAACACUCGAAAUGUUCUAACAGCAGAUAAAAGUGCAGUUUUAUGAAUUAAAAAAAUGAAGCUGUUGCAGACAGAAUAACCAAGUACAAACAUAGUAAUUCAAGGAGAGACAGCCAGCUGGAAACAGGUGAGGGGUGACGGCAGGUGGAAUCAGGUGAUAGGUGAGGGCAGGUGGAAUCAGGUGAGGAGUGAGUCCGAGUGGAAUCAGAUAGAAACAGGUGAGGGGUGAGGCCAGGUGGAAUCAGGUGAGGGGUGAGGUUAGGCAGAAACAGGUGAAAUCAGGUGAGAAACGAGGACAGGUAGAAUCAGGUAGAUAAAAGGUGAGAGGUGAGGCCAGAUGGAGUCAGGUGGAAUCAGGUGAGGGGUGAGG
RNAcentral lists this long non-coding RNA (3930 nucleotides) under Macaca mulatta (Rhesus monkey). RNAcentral describes it as "lncRNA (ENSMMUG00000059059.1)". Lineage: Eukaryota; Metazoa; Chordata; Mammalia; Primates; Cercopithecidae. The record is from RNAcentral.